AGCAGUAGCCGCGGUAAUACGGAGGGUGCAAGCGUUAAUCGGAAUUACUGGGCGUAAAGCGCACGCAGGCGGUCUGUCAAGUCAGAUGUGAAAUCCCCGGGCUUAACCUGGGAACUGCAUUUGAAACUGGCAGGCUAGAGUCUUGUAGAGGGGGGUAGAAUUCCAGGUGUAGCGGUGAAAUGCGUAGAGAUCUGGAGGAAUACCGGUGGCGAAGGCGGCCCCCUGGACAAAGACUGACGCUCAGGUGCGAAAGCGUGGGGAGCAAACAGGAUUAGAUACCCGGGUAGUCCCUGUCUCUUAUAC
This 303-nucleotide ribosomal RNA is filed under the name uncultured bacterium. RNAcentral describes it as "partial 16S ribosomal RNA". It matches the Rfam family "Bacterial small subunit ribosomal RNA", at positions 507 to 807 of the family's 1533-position model. The record is from RNAcentral.